AUUAGUUUCUCCUUCCCUGUGUGAGCUGUCGGGUCUCCUUUGGUUUUCAGGUGUGACACAGAGAGAGGAGCCAGAUGUGACAUGCUUCCUGGGGUUCCUGGCCUCAUAAACCUGUGGGACAACGAGCCACAUUCGUCUGGGUGUCUCCAGCUGGGGCUCCACCAGUGCCUGCAGCGUCUCCAGAGCCUUCCUCUCACCGAGUCCUCCCCAGGCACGUCCUGGAGGCCCUGAGACGUCUCCCGGAGCUUGUGUGAUGCCUGCUCGGGUCCUCCCACUCUCCCCCCAAGCAUGGGCAAGCAUCCCCCGCUCCACCGGAGACCAGCUCCUGAUCAGGCUGCGCCGGGUCAACGGGCUCAGGGACUUCCUCCUUUGACUUCAGUGCUAAGAGCUCUUCAGGCUGAUUCCAUCUCCUCCAUCUCCCCCGGGGACCAUUUCCAGGCCACCUCAUCAUCCCGGUGACGCACUUCUGAAGACUCCGGAAGGCCGUAAUUAAAUCCAGCUUGUGAUUCCUUUAAGGAGGCCUGAGCGGAGGCUAAUUUCUCCUCAGCAUCAUCUGAACCACUGGGCGUCUCGUCACCUAGGAGCACUGCCCACAGCUCACAUGGCCCACCCUGCAGAGGCCCUGCCUGUCCACAGCGGGAGUGGGGCCUGGACUACUCACAGUGGGGUCCUGGUGGCUCUCUAAAUGAGGGUCGUGGGGACACACAGGAGCUGCUUUUGCAGGGCCAGUUGUCCCUUCAUGUGCACUGAAGAUUGGGAGUGGGCGGGGCUGUGUUGUCCCCCUAGGAAGGCCGGGAGGUCGUGGCCUGGUGGGCCACUGAGACCAGGAUCCUGCUGGCUUCCUUGGCAGAGCACGAGAUGCUCCCGAGUUCAGGAAACGGUGUGGAGCUGCUCAUGGUGCUGGAGGCCAAGGGAGGGUGGGGGCAGGUGCAGCUUGGGGGCCUCUUCUCACAGCUGUGCAGAUAAGCACCAACAGGAGCUGCCACCCCACGUCAGUAAAGCCGAGGGGGUGGCCAAGAUCCUGGUACUCAGCUUGCAUCAACCCUUUUGAAAAUCUCAUGAACACUGUGGACCACACAUCCAAGAUUUUGCCCACAAUUUUAGGGGUCUGGAUGAACUUCCGGGGCCCCGUGGACCUAGAUCUGGUUGGCUGGCCUCCCUGGUUCCCUCUUUCUUUGUCCUUCCAUGCACUGACCACGCAGCGCAGACUGGGGUGGGCAGUGGUCAUCUCCCUCCUUCUGCCCCAGCUCCCAAUAACAGGGCCCUCCAAGGACCCUGGGCUCAGCCAGACAAG
Molecule: long non-coding RNA, 1294 nt
Organism: Equus caballus (horse)
Lineage: Eukaryota; Metazoa; Chordata; Mammalia; Perissodactyla; Equidae
Source: Ensembl